UACGUAGGGUGCGAGCGUUAAUCGGAAUUACUGGGCGUAAAGCGUGCGCAGGCGGUUUUUUAAGCCAGAUGUGAAAUCCCCGGGCUCAACCUGGGAAUGGCAUUUGGGACUGCAAGGCUGGAGUUUGGCAGAGGAGACUGGAAUUCCCGGUGUAGCAGUGAAAUGCGUAGAUAUCGGGAGGAAUACCGAUGGCGAAGGCAGGUCUCUGGGCUAUAACUGACGCUCAUGCACGAAAGCGUGGGGAGCAAACAGG
This 253-nucleotide ribosomal RNA is filed under the name uncultured bacterium. Its description in RNAcentral is "partial 16S ribosomal RNA". It matches the Rfam family "Bacterial small subunit ribosomal RNA", at positions 524 to 776 of the family's 1533-position model. The record is from RNAcentral.